UGGGGAAUAUUGGACAAUGGGGGCAACCCUGAUCCAGCCAUGCCGCGUGUGUGAAGAAGGCCUUUUGGUUGUAAAGCACUUUAAGCAGUGAAGAAGACUCCAUGGUUAAUACCCAUGGACGAUGACAUUAGCUGCAGAAUAAGCACCGGCUAACUCUGUGCCAGCAGCCGCGGUAAUACAGAGGGUGCAAGCGUUAAUCGGAAUUACUGGGCGUAAAGCGAGCGUAGGUGGCUUGAUAAGUCAGAUGUGAAAGCCCCGGGCUUAACCUGGGAACGGCGUCUGAUACUGUUAGGCUAGAGUAGGUGAGAGGAAGGUAGAAUUCCAGGUGUAGCGGUGAAAUGCGUAGAGAUCUGGAGGAAUACCGAUGGCGAAGGCAGCCUUCUGGCAUCAUACUGACACUGAGGUUCGAAAGCGUGGGUAGCAAACA
Molecule: ribosomal RNA, 427 nt
Filed under: uncultured bacterium
Lineage: Bacteria
Description: partial 16S ribosomal RNA
Rfam family: Bacterial small subunit ribosomal RNA
Source: RNAcentral